Molecule: ribosomal RNA, 544 nt
Filed under: Providencia rettgeri
Lineage: Bacteria; Pseudomonadati; Pseudomonadota; Gammaproteobacteria; Enterobacterales; Morganellaceae
Description: partial 23S ribosomal RNA
Rfam family: Bacterial large subunit ribosomal RNA
Source: RNAcentral
GGGUAGUUUGACUGGGGCGGUCUCCUCCCAAAGAGUAACGGAGGAGCACGAAGGUUGGCUAAGCAUGGUCGGACAUCAUGCGGUUAGUGCAAAGGCAUAAGCCAGCUUGACUGCGAGAGUGACGGCUCGAGCAGGUACGAAAGUAGGUCUUAGUGAUCCGGUGGUUCUGAAUGGAAGGGCCAUCGCUCAACGGAUAAAAGGUACUCCGGGGAUAACAGGCUGAUACCGCCCAAGAGUUCAUAUCGACGGCGGUGUUUGGCACCUCGAUGUCGGCUCAUCACAUCCUGGGGCUGAAGUAGGUCCCAAGGGUACGGCUGUUCGCCGUUUAAAGUGGUACGCGAGCUGGGUUUAGAACGUCGUGAGACAGUUCGGUCCCUAUCUGCCGUGGGCGUUGGAAGAUUGAAAGGGGCUGCUCCUAGUACGAGAGGACCGGAGUGGACGCACCACUGGUGUUCGGGUUGUCAUGCCAAUGGCAUUGCCCGGUAGCUAAGUGCGGAAGAGAUAACCGCUGAAAGCAUCUAAGCGGGAAACUUGCCUUGAGAUG